AUUGAACGCUGGCGGCAGGCCUUACACAUGCAAGUCGAGCGAGAAAUUUUCUUCGGAAAAGAGUAAAGCGGCGGACGGGUGAGUAACGCGUAGGAAUCUACCUAGUAGUGGGGGACAACAUGUGGAAACGCAUGCUAAUACCGCAUACGCCCUAUGGGGGAAAGCAGGGGAUCUUCGGACCUUGUGCUAUUAGAUGAGCCUGCGUCGGAUUAGUUUGUUGGUAGGGUAAUGGCCUACCAAGACUACGAUCCGUAGCUGGUCUGAGAGGAUGAUCAGCCACACUGGGACUGAGACACGGCCCAGACUCCUACGGGAGGCAGCAGUGGGGAAUAUUGGACAAUGGGCGCAAGCCUGAUCCAGCCAUGCCGCGUGUGUGAAGAAGGCUCUAGGGUUGUAAAGCACUUUCAGUAGGGAGGAAAAGUUAGUAGUUAAUAACUGCUAGCCCUGACGUUACCUACAGAAGAAGCACCGGCAAACUCCGUGCCAGCAGCCGCGGUAAUACGGAGGGUGCGAGCGUUAAUCGGAAUUACUGGGCGUAAAGCGCGCGUAGGCGGUUUGAUAAGCUGGAUGUGAAAGCCCCGGGCUCAACCUGGGAACUGCAUCCAGAACUGUCUGACUAGAAUACAAUAGAGGUGAGUGGAAUUUCCUGUGUAGCGGUGAAAUGCGUAGAUAUAGGAAGGAACAUCAGUGGCGAAGGCGACUCACUGGAUUGAUAUUGACC
RNAcentral lists this ribosomal RNA (721 nucleotides) under bacterium IMCC11533. RNAcentral describes it as "bacterial SSU rRNA". It matches the Rfam family "Bacterial small subunit ribosomal RNA", at positions 28 to 745 of the family's 1533-position model. The record is from RNAcentral.